Long non-coding RNA from Magnolia sinica, 529 nucleotides. RefSeq lists it as uncharacterized. Lineage: Eukaryota; Viridiplantae; Streptophyta; Magnoliopsida; Magnoliales; Magnoliaceae. The transcript is spliced from 3 exons. The record is from RefSeq and is a predicted model, not a curated record.
GGAUGGACUCAGGCUGGUCAAGGUCAGAGGAGAAGCUAUGUAGGUGGGCAUCUAAACUGGCUCAAUGGGAAGUUGCAGAUGCUGCUAACAGUACUAUGGUUGGUGUCAUAGAACUAGAUUCAGAAAAGGUCCAGCUGUUAUGCGAUGCAGCUAAUGAAGAAGUAGAUGAGAAAAAUAAAGAUCAAAUUGCAAACUUCCUCUGUCCACGUAACUAUGUUGUUUCUGGAGGUGUGAAAGCAGUGGAAGCUAAGGCAAAGUCAAAUAGCUCGAAUGAUGGUUAAUUACUCCUAGAUUAUUAAUUACCAUUUUUCCAUAAUUUGAUAAAAGCUUCAUGCAUUAUGCUUUACCAUAUUUUUGCAAACUUAGCUUGUAUUUCUUUUAAAAGACUAAUGUUUGUGGUACAGAAAUUGAAAUUAUGGAAAAGCUUGUAUUUCCUGUGAUUUUAAUAAAUUCAAAAAGAUAUGUGGAGAAAGAACAAGGGAUGCAUCCAAAGUUCCAAACUUAUGUAAAGAACAAGGGAUGCAUCCAA